Molecule: ribosomal RNA, 252 nt
Filed under: uncultured microorganism
Description: partial 16S ribosomal RNA
Rfam family: Bacterial small subunit ribosomal RNA
Source: RNAcentral
UACGUAGGUCCCGAGCGUUGUCCGGAUUUAUUGGGCGUAAAGCGAGCGCAGGUGGUUUAUUAAGUCUGGUGUAAAAGGCAGUGGCUCAACCAUUGUAUGCAUUGGAAACUGGUAGACUUGAGUGCAGUAGAGGAGAGUGGAAUUCCAUGUGUAGCGGUGAAAUGCGUAGAUAUAUGGAGGAACACCGGUGGCGAAAGCGGCUCUCUGGACUGUCACUGACACUGAGGCUCGAAAGCGUGGGUAGCAAACAGG